AACGAACGCUGGCGGCGUGCCUAACACAUGCAAGUCGUGCGAGAAAGUUCCUUCGGGAGCGAGUAAAGCGGCGCACGGGUGAGUAACACGUAGGUAACCUGCCCCCCAGUCUGGAACAACUAGAGGAAACUCUAGCUAAUGCCGGAUGAGACCACGAUCCCUUCGGGGGUUGCGGCCAAAGAUGGCCUCUACUUGUAAGCUAUCGCUGAGGGAUGGGCCUGCGGGCCAUUAGCUUGUUGGUGAGGUAACGGCUCACCAAGGCUGUGAUGGCUAGCUGGUCUGAGAGGAUGACCAGCCACACUGGGACUGAGACACGGCCCAGACUCCUACGGAGGCAGCAGUGGGAAUUUUGGACAAUGGGGGCGAACCCUGAUCCAGCAAUGCCGCGUGAGUGAAGAAGGCCUUCGGUU
Molecule: ribosomal RNA, 410 nt
Filed under: uncultured bacterium
Lineage: Bacteria
Description: bacterial SSU rRNA
Rfam family: Bacterial small subunit ribosomal RNA
Source: RNAcentral